RNAcentral lists this signal recognition particle RNA (96 nucleotides) under Deltaproteobacteria bacterium. Its description in RNAcentral is "signal recognition particle sRNA small type". It matches the Rfam family "Bacterial small signal recognition particle RNA". From Rfam's summary of the family: The signal recognition particle (SRP) is a universally conserved ribonucleoprotein involved in the co-translational targeting of proteins to membranes. Archaeal SRP consists of a 7S RNA and homologues of the eukaryotic SRP19 and SRP54 proteins. The record is from RNAcentral. Lineage: Bacteria; Pseudomonadati; Myxococcota; Myxococcia.
CUGCCGGGCCCCUGUAACUGCCAUGUGCUAACCCCGUCAGGUCUGGAAAGAAGCAGCGGUCCGCGAAAUGGCAGCGGCAGGAUCUUCCGGCAGUCC